UAGGGAAUCUUCGGCAAUGGACGAAAGUCUGACCGAGCAACGCCGCGUGAGUGAAGAAGGGUUUCGGAUCGUAAAACUCUGUUGUUAGAGAAGAACAAGUGGGAGAGUAACUGUUCCCACCUUGACGGUAUCUAACCAGAAAGCCACGGCUAACUACGUGCCAGCAGCCGCGGUAAUACGUAGGUGGCAAGCGUUGUCCGGAUUUAUUGGGCGUAAAGCGAGCGCAGGCGGUUUCUUAAGUCUGAUGUGAAAGCCCUCGGCUCAACCGAGGAAGGUCAUUGGAAACUGGGGAACUUGAAUGCAGAAGAGGAGAGUGGAAUUCCAUGUGUAGCGGUGAAAUGCGUAGAUAUAUGGAGGAACACCAGUGGCGAAGGCGACUCUCUGGUCUGUAAUUGACGCUGAGGCUCGAAAGCGUGGGGAGCAAACAGG
RNAcentral lists this ribosomal RNA (429 nucleotides) under Acidobacteriota bacterium. RNAcentral describes it as "Acidobacteria bacterium partial 16S ribosomal RNA". It matches the Rfam family "Bacterial small subunit ribosomal RNA", at positions 355 to 776 of the family's 1533-position model. Lineage: Bacteria; Pseudomonadati; Acidobacteriota. The record is from RNAcentral.